RNAcentral lists this ribosomal RNA (472 nucleotides) under uncultured bacterium. RNAcentral describes it as "bacterial SSU rRNA". It matches the Rfam family "Bacterial small subunit ribosomal RNA", at positions 28 to 482 of the family's 1533-position model. The record is from RNAcentral.
GACGAACGCUGGCGGCGUGCCUAAUACAUGCAAGUAGAACGCUGAAGGAGGAGCUUGCUCUUCUGGAUGAGUUGCGAACGGGUGAGUAACGCGUAGGUAACCUGCCUGGUAGCGGGGGAUAACUAUUGGAAACGAUAGCUAAUACCGCAUAACAGUAGAUGUUGCAUGACAUUUGCUUAAAAGGUAGCAAUUGCAUCACUACCAGAUGGACCUGCGUUGUAUUAGCUAGUUGGUGGGGUAACGGGCUCACCAAGGCGACGAUACAUAGCCGACCUGAGAGGGUGAUCGGCCACACUGGGACUGAGACACGGCCCAGACUCCUACGGGAGGCAGCAGUAGGGAAUCUUCGGCAAUGGACGGAAGUCUGACCGAGCAACGCCGCGUGAGUGAAGAAGGUUUUCGGAUCGUAAAGCUCUGUUGUAAGAGAAGAACGAGUGUGAGAGUGGAAAGUUCACACUGUGACGGUAUCUUA